RNAcentral lists this unclassified non-coding RNA (4303 nucleotides) under Mizuhopecten yessoensis (Yesso scallop). RNAcentral describes it as "uncharacterized LOC110445366, transcript variant X1". The record is from RNAcentral. Lineage: Eukaryota; Metazoa; Mollusca; Bivalvia; Pectinida; Pectinidae.
UGGCCGGUCGUAUUUGCGGGGCAAGUAUACGUUAUCGCGAAAAUGUCCUACACCCAAGUCAUCAACAUACAGUGCAACCGACUGGAAAAUUGUAUAAGUACAGCCAGAAUGACCUCGUUUUCAACCAGGAAGUUGCACUAAAAAUAAUCGAUCAUGAUUCGUCAAAUCCCAAUACACAAAUGAUGUUCCGGUUAGUGUGAAGGAAUGGUGAAGUUUCUACGUCAGUGAGAUAUUAAAUGAAAGCGUGAACCUACAUGGAGGGAAAUCUCAGACGAGGAAGGCCAACGCUCUGUAUCAGUGAAGCGUUUGGUUUCUUAAAUGAUCCUGAGUAUGGUGAUAAAAGUGGAAAAGAUGUCAACAACUUGGACAAGCAUUUAAAAAAGUCUGUCAGUGAUACAGGACUACUAAGGGGAGAUAAUACUAACGAGUUCCACCACCAAACACCCCUCUUAGAGAACAACACCUACACCAUCCUGACAUUUGUACAAGCUGAUCAGUCAAAUGCAAAAUCUACUGUCACACAGACUUUGGAUGAUGAGGUUACCCCGUCAGCUGAAUCUCAGUCCGAUAAAGAAUCAAGCAAAUAUACUAUAGUUACUUGUGUUGAUCACUCUGGAGCUAAACACGUGGUAGGAGAGGUAGGAGAGGUAGGAGGAGAAGAGAACAGUAUGCCUGGAAUUCUGACUGACCGUGGUUAUCUCCCUUCUCCAGAAACCAAAUGUACAGUCAAUCAAAAUGAGAGUGAUCUAACUCUAAAUGACACUGACCAUCAAUCAAGGGAGAAAAUCACUCCUCAGCAAAGGGAGACAACCCAUUCCCAAACAGGGGAAUUUAUCAAUCCUCAGACAGGGGAGUCCAUCAACUUUCAGGAACAAGAAACAAUCAAUCCUCAUAAUGGGGAACAGAUUCCAAUGCAAUGUGCUUCAGACAAUAGUGGAAAGAUCACCGGUGAUCAAAGUGUUCAAAAUAGUCACAGAACAAAUCAAAAUGGGGGCAUCUUAGAAAACGGUUCACAAAGUGGUAAUCAUUCACAGUCCACUGCUCAUGUAUCCCAACAUUCACAAGCAAAUCCAUUAAUACAGAAUGGACUUUCUAAAAGUGUUAUAAACAUCAGUCAUAGCCCUAAAUCAGGAGAUAACAAUCUGGUAACUAAACGUGAUGUAGACAAUAAAACCAGCAGUAGGGAUGAGGCUACUGCUGGUCAAACGCGGUCAAACACAGACCUGGUCACCGAGACCACCGACAAUAAGGUCAGUGAGGAAGAUGAGACGGUUGUGCUACGACCUCCGUCAAUCACUGGUCCCGCAACGCCAUCCCGACGGACACAACAGAUUGUCAGUGAUGUUUUUCAUUUUUUAAAGGAUAUUGAUUAUGAUGAUGAAGAUGACCUUGGGGAUCUCGGCACAGAAUCUGAACUGAAUUCUAAUGAUACAACAGGGUCAAAAGUGUUUUCAGAGCCAAAACCCUCAAAUGAAGCGGUCAGCAGCCUACUGCGUAAAAACUCUCUUGGCAUGUUGCCCCCAGCUCCAGCUCCUAAGCCAAAGCGCACAAGUUCUAGUGCUCAAAAUGAAUCAAUGUGUUCAAAUCAAAGUGUUCCAGUUGAACCGGUAAGCCGCUCCAGGAGGGAAGGUCACAGGAGCCCACCUUCAGUAGCCCCUAAACCAAGGCGUUCUACAGCCAGCCAAGUCCUCAACUCACCUACUAAUCAGAUUCAGGAAGGUCUCGCCGAUGGGGAGGAUAUGCUGAACCCUACUCCUGCAGAAAACAAAAGUUUAAUUGCUGAAGACCAGGCCGCAUGCUCAAAUUCAGACCUUCCAAAUCCAACGCUUAAUUCCAGUAUGGAGAUAAAGAGCUCCAAUCCAUUGACGACUAAUGACAAUGUAUCACUGACUUCUAACUCUACAUCUGGAAAUGACUCUGUGAACUCCGACCCUACUGUGAACUCUGACCCCACUGUGAACUCUGGCAACAACGUUGUUGAUAGUGGCUGGGACUUCAGUAGCAUGGUUGAAACAGAACCUGUGGAUUCUCACCCUUCUCAGGAGGAGGGCCAAUCAAGUCCUGUGAAGGUGCGACCAAGUCUUAGUCGUAGUGAGGCGAUAGACGAUACACAGGAGACCAUAGGAAACGCUAGACCAGUGGAAGAACAGGAGCAAACUCUGACGCUCAGACGCAAAAAAAGUAGAACAAGGUCGACUACAAAUGAUGAGGAGAGUGCAGACUCAUCAGACGAUGACACAGGGAUCUACAAUGAGAGUUAUCGUAAAUCAUGCUGGAUACAGAUUGCUGAGGGAGACGCUUCUUCACGAUCAAGCUCCCCAGCCCCACCCACAUUACAGACCGUGGAUGAAGCUAAUAUUGGUUCUGAACCUCCGGAUGAGACUGGCCCCGCCCCAGAGGACGAGGCAGAUCCUGUAACCCAGUCACAAAGCAAUGCUCAACCCAUUCAUCAGGACAGUAAAGAUGAAGUGUUUGUGGAGGGCAUGUCUUACAAGGAAGGUCGGUUCCACAAGCGGUCAGACUCCACAACCACCACUCGGUCAGAGAGCGAGUUUAAACGGGAGUACCAGUUCCGAAGAAAAUGUUUUGUGCAACGCAGUGACAGUCAACAGGAGUAUCAUAGAUUGUCUGCUAAAUUCUAUGACCAUGAGAACCAUCUGGUGAUAAAUAGGACGGCGGCGACCCCUGACCUCGGACUCCACAUCCUGGAUAGUCACCCUGCUGUCAUUACCUCCGUUGAUCCGGGGAGUCCAGCAGAGAAGGCCGGGGUCAAAAAAGGUCAAAUUAUCCUCAGUGUCAACCAGGUGAACGUGUUACAGGCAACUCAUGAUGAGAUUGUCUCCCUUAUUCAGGAGAGUUCACUCCAAGUGUCACUAGAAGUGGCCUCUAGUGAUGUGGGCUUGGUACGAGAUCUUCAGUCUCCAAAGGUAUCCGGUUUCAUGCACAAACUUAGCAAUUCAUCAUUUGUACGAAACUGGAAGAAGAGAUACUUCCUGCUCAGGAAAGAUAACUGUCUGUAUUACUACAAGAAUGAUCAGGACUGUACUGACCCACUAGGGGCCCUACCACUGCUCAACUACACCGUGUCAAAACACACAGACACAAGCAAGGCACAUUGCUUCAAGGCUGAGAAAUAUGGCGCCAAGACCUACUAUUUCUAUGUGGACACUCGUGAGGAAAUGGCCAGAUGGGUGUGUGCAAUGAAUGAAGCAGCCAUGGCCUCUAAGAAAAGGAAGGACUCCUGGAUGGAUAUAACGAGUCACAAUGUUGGGUUACCUGCCCUUGAGGUCAGGCGUGCAGAGUGUACUGGAUACUUGCGUAAGAGUAACAAAGCCAUGAAGAACUGGAACAAACGAUACUGUGUCCUCAAGGAUGCCUGUCUGUAUUACUACAAGACCAUGAACUCUCAGAACGCUCAAGGUAUGGCCCAUCUCCAUGGAUACCGAGUGGAUACGACAGGGAUACCUGUAAAGGCAUUUAGCUUCGUUCUCCAGCCUCCAGAAACACAGAUGAGAACAUUCUACUUUGUGGCCGAGAACGAGACGGACAAACUUAGAUGGGUGGAAGCGCUGAGGAAGUCAAUAGAACGGUGGAUCCAGAUGGAUUAACAUUGGGGCAUUGAUCCAGUCGGAAUUAUCAUCAGCAGAUACAGUCAGGUGGAUUAACUUUUGGGGAUUACCAGAUUCCAGGUGGAUUAACAUUGGGGCAUUGAUCCAGUCGGAAUUAUCAUCAGCAGAUACAGUCAGGUGGAUUAACUUUUGGGGAUUACCAGAUUCCAGGUGGAUUAACAUUGGGGCAUUGAUCCAGUCGGAAUUAUCAUCAGCAGAUACAGUCAGGUGGAUUAACUUUUGGGGAUUACCAGAUUCCAGGUGGAUUAGCCUGAGGAGAUAACAAGGCUCCAGGUGGAUUGACAAUAGAGGAUCGAUAUGGUCACAAGCACUUAAUCUUAAAUAAGAAAUGUUUUCUAGCUGGUGAGGUGAUUGUUCUACAAAACCUGAAUCUAUUUACUGAUAGCACUUACUCUUAUUACAGGACUUAUUUUCACUAUAGUAUAAUCACUAUAACAUGAAUCUUAAUUCACUUGAGAUGUAACACAGCAUUUGAUUGGUCAAUCAAAAUUACUUGCGACUGCAUAACCCUGAUACACAAUCAGCAAAUUUCUCUCAUAGCAAGCCAAAAUGGGGGAUGUUCAUGACUUGACUGACCCUUAAUGAUGUCAUAAACCAUAAUGUGAUCUCACUGUGAUGUUAUUGAUGUCACAGUCUACAGCGUAGUUACCCAAACUUCUCAAGUUACCCAAACU